UCAACUAAAUGGUUUAAUUUUCGUAUAACCUCGAGUAAUAAGGACCGAGGGUCUCUACAUGGAACCGUAAAUUCCUAGCUACGAAAAAUAUGCGUACUUGC
This 101-nucleotide non-coding RNA is filed under the name Halalkalibacter wakoensis. RNAcentral describes it as "Bacillus wakoensis Guanine sequence". It matches the Rfam family "Purine riboswitch aptamer". Rfam says of the family: Riboswitches are metabolite binding domains within certain messenger RNAs that serve as precision sensors for their corresponding targets. Allosteric rearrangement of mRNA structure is mediated by ligand binding, and this results in modulation of gene expression. Lineage: Bacteria; Bacillati; Bacillota; Bacilli; Caryophanales; Bacillaceae. RNAcentral also lists the same sequence under 1 other name. The record is from RNAcentral.